UCGGCAACGGAUAUCUCGGCUCUCGCAUCGAUGAAGAACGUAGCGAAAUGCGAUACUUGGUGUGAAUUGCAGAAUCCCGUGAACCAUCGAGUCUUUGAACGCAAGUUGCGCCCUAAGCCUUCUGGCCGAGGGCACGUCUGCCUGGGUGUCACAAAUCGUCGUCCC
Molecule: ribosomal RNA, 165 nt
Filed under: Noccaea caerulescens
Lineage: Eukaryota; Viridiplantae; Streptophyta; Magnoliopsida; Brassicales; Brassicaceae
Also listed under: 17 other names
Description: 5.8S ribosomal RNA
Rfam family: 5.8S ribosomal RNA
About the family: 5.8S ribosomal RNA (5.8S rRNA) is a component of the large subunit of the eukaryotic ribosome. It is transcribed by RNA polymerase I as part of the 45S precursor that also contains 18S and 28S rRNA. Functionally, it is thought that 5.8S rRNA may be involved in ribosome translocation.
Source: RNAcentral